UCGGUAUGGGAUGGGGAUGCGUUCCAUUAGUUAGUUGGCGGGGUAACGGCCCACCAAGACAACGAUGGAUAGGGGUUCUGAGAGGAAGGUCCCCCACAUUGGAACUGAGACACGGUCCAAACUCCUACGGGAGGCAGCAGUGAGGAAUAUUGGUCAAUGGACGAGAGUCUGAACCAGCCAAGUAGCGUGAAGGAUGACUGCCCUAUGGGUUGUAAACUUCUUUUAUAUGGGAAUAAAAUGUUCCACGUGUGGGAUUUUGUAUGUACCAUAUGAAUAAGGAUCGGCUAACUCCGUGCCAGCAGCCGCGGUAAUACGGAGGAUCCGAGCGUUAUCCGGAUUUAUUGGGUUUAAAGGGAGCGUAGGUGGAUUGUUAAGUCAGUUGUGAAAGUUUGCGGCUCAACCGUAAAAUUGCAGUUGAAACUGGCAGUCUUGAGUACAGUAGAGGUGGGCGGAAUUCGUGGUGUAGCGGUGAAAUGCUUAGAUAUCACGAAGAACUCCGAUUGCGAAGGCAGCUCACUGGACUGCAACUGACACUGAGGCUCGAAAGUGUGGGUAUCAAACAGGAUUAGAUACCCUGGUAGUCCACACAGUAAACGAUGAAUACUCGCUGUUUGCGAUAUAC
Molecule: ribosomal RNA, 622 nt
Filed under: uncultured bacterium
Lineage: Bacteria
Description: bacterial SSU rRNA
Rfam family: Bacterial small subunit ribosomal RNA
Source: RNAcentral